RNAcentral lists this transfer RNA (73 nucleotides) under Stegodyphus mimosarum. It matches the Rfam family "tRNA". From Rfam's summary of the family: Transfer RNA (tRNA) molecules are approximately 80 nucleotides in length. Lineage: Eukaryota; Metazoa; Arthropoda; Arachnida; Araneae; Eresidae. The record is from Rfam by way of RNAcentral.
GUCUUUGUGGUGUAAUGGUCAGCACACUCGGCGCGUAUUCGAGAGGUCCGAGGUUCGAGUCCCGGCGAGGGCA